This 494-nucleotide ribosomal RNA is filed under the name uncultured bacterium. Its description in RNAcentral is "partial 16S ribosomal RNA". It matches the Rfam family "Bacterial small subunit ribosomal RNA", at positions 28 to 507 of the family's 1533-position model. The record is from RNAcentral.
GACGAACGCUGGCGGCGUGCUUAACACAUGCAAGUCGAACGGAAAGGCCUGCUUUCCCUUGUGGAUUGCGGGUACUCGAGUGGCGAACGGGUGAGUAACACGUGAGUGAUCUGCCCCCAAUUUGGGUAUAAGCCUGGGAAACUGGGUCUAAUUCCCGAUAGGACUGCAGGGUGGUGCCUGUGGUGGAAAACGAUUUUCUAGUGGUUGGGGAUGAGCUCGCGGCCUAUCAGCUUGUUGGUGGGGUAAUGGCCUACCAAGGCGGCGACGGGUAGCCGGCCUGAGAGGGUGGACGGCCACAUUGGGACUGAGAUACGGCCCAGACUCCUACGGGAGGCAGCAGUGGGGAAUAUUGCACAAUGGGCGGAAGCCUGAUGCAGCGACGCCGCGUGGGGGAUGACGGCCUUCGGGUUGUAAACUCCUUUCGACCGCGAGGAAGCCACCUGGUUGGAAGGGUGGUGACGGUAGUGGUAGAAGAAGCACCGGCUAACUACGUG